GAUGAAGAACGCAGCGAAAUGCGAUAAGUAAUGUGAAUUGCAGAAUUCAGUGAAUCAUCGAAUCUUUGAACGCACAUUGCGCCCGCCAGUAUUCUGGCGGGCAUGCCUGUUCGAGCGUCAUUUCAACCAUCAAGCCCCCGGCUUGUGUUGGGGACCUGCGGCUGCCGCAGGCCCUGAAAGCAGUGGCGGGCUCGCUGUCACACCGAGCGUAGUAGCAUACAUCUCGCUCUGGGCGUGCUGCGGGUUCCGGCCGUUAAACCACCUUCAUAACCCAAGGUUGACCUCGGAUCAGGUAGGAAGACCCGCUGAACUUAAGCAUAUCAAUAAGCGGAGGA
This 335-nucleotide unclassified non-coding RNA is filed under the name soil metagenome. Its description in RNAcentral is "partial contains 5.8S ribosomal RNA, internal transcribed spacer 2, and large subunit ribosomal RNA". The stretch from base 1 to 120 matches the Rfam family "5.8S ribosomal RNA", at positions 35 to 154 of the family's 154-position model. The record is from RNAcentral.